CGAACUUAUCUCAUUAGAACAGCUUGUAAAGCCAAUCUCCGUGCAGGUCUCGUCCCGACCUCGACGAGUUACACACAACUUUCGACGGCGAUUGAGAGUUAGAGCCUUGUCCCUUGGUUAACCGAAAUCGUUCGCGUUCUAACGGGAAAUCGUGGUCUGAAAAAGGGGCUAGCUAUUUGGAGAAAGAGAGAGAGAGUGAGAGGGGUCUAAGGAGGAGGAAAAAGAGGAGGAUAGCAGGUCAGGUCGAAGCAAUUUGUGAAAAGAAAAGGUAAUCAUGGAAAAGAGAGAGAGAAGAGUGAGAGAAAGAGAGAGAGAGAGAUGGUGAAUGAAAAUUGCCCUUUCGUUCUUAUUCUUUCGUCCAUUUUCUUCGUAUUUCAACACAGUUCGAACGAUCAAAAUAUGCCAUUCAAAAGAUGAAAAAGAAAAAGAGGUGGGGUUUUCACGAUCAGCAAGUAAAUCAAGCCACGCUCGAAUAUUAAGAGAUUGUACGAGAAGGACGGUGAAUACGGGCGUUAGCCGAGAUAGAACUCGUCUUUCGGAAUUUGUUUAUCGAUGUGUAGGUAUAUAAGAAAAGGAAUACAAUCGUAUAACGUUAUAUUCAGCCAGAUUUUUUUUUUUUCAAAUCUAAACAAUUAAGUAUUAUACGAGAUCAAAAGCGAGAUCUUCUUUAAAUUAACGAUGAAUAGAAAUUUUUAUAGUAAGAAAAUUCAAUUAGGUUCUCAUGUCUAAACAGAAUGCGAACAAAGGGCGAAUCGGUUUGUAAAAAUAAUGACGAAGAUCGACGAGCAGAAGUUCGAAAUUCUUCAAGACUUAAAUAACGUUGCUUUUGAAAACAUAUUCAAGAAGGAAACGGAUGUAAAAGCUAAUGCAAAUAGAUAGCCCUGGUGAACAAGUGAAUCUGUAGUUUAGACAAACGAAGAGAUAGAGAUAGAGAGUGUGAGAGAAAGAGAGAAAGAGAGAGAGAGAGAAUAGCAUUAUGUUAUAAAUUAGCCAUUGUUGCUGGCUCAUAUCCGGAUGCGGCUAACUGACGAAGGAUAAUUUAGCUUGGCCGUUCAGCAGUAUCCGCAAGAGUCGCCGCAACCGCGCCAGGUAUGACGUUUCUAAUUAGUAAGUCUGCUACGUGGAAAUUACGUGCGAUUUGUCGGCGAUUUUGAAACAGCAUUCGCGGAAAUCCACCUUCCCUGUCGGCCGAGAAUUCUCUUCCUUGAGUUAAACUUUGGCUCGAUCAAGUCUUCCUGAGUUUAGAAGAUGAAUAGAUCGACGUGAUUAGACCACAAACGUGUUCACCGGACAUGAUAUCAACGAACAAACUAAUUCAAAGAAUUGAAUCAUAUAUUAUACUAAAAAGUAACCUGACAUAAGUCUAUCCAAAAUCAAAUUUAUCUACAUUCUGAUGAUUUGAAAUCAUUGUGUGACUUGUGUUAGGCUGAUAUCGUAAUAAUCUCAUAUAUCUCUCUCUUUCUUAAUUCAUAAAUCACAGACAAUGAGUAUCCGUCAUAGAUGAAUUUUAUCGAAUCGUUCGUUAUUAAUAAAACAAAAAAAAAAGAUAAAUGACAUUAAACUAACAUAGAAACACGAGAAUGUAGAGAUAUAGAACUAGAAAAGUAUUAGAUUAUUCAAAGAAAUCGGGACGAAAAGCGGCGAGCAGGCAAAUUGGCGACCACGACUCUACCCACAGGCCAUCGAUUGUCGCGAAUUGAAAAACAAUUAGUGAAUUGCGGUUUCGAACGGCAUCGCCACCGCGCUACCUCCCCCCUCUCCCUCUUCGCUAUCUCCUCAUCCCUCUUUCCACGAGCAGCACCACCAUCACCACCACCACCACCACCACCACCACCAUCAUCUCUGUACCAUCCAUUCGUCCUCCGAUCUCGUGCUGAACAUCACCGUAUACAUUCUCGCAUUGGAUAUAUCGCCAUUAAUUUGCAUAGAGGUAAAGCCGAGCGCAAAAACCGGCCGAGCUUUACGUGCAAGUUUCCGUCGGGGAAAUAAUAAAUUUAUCACGCGGAAAUUAUCAGCCGGUAGAGAGGACGAAAGAGAGAGAAAGAGAUAUGAAUAUAUUGAAGACAAUUUUCACGCAAAAAUGAACUUUUCUCAAUGAUCAAAACAAUACGAAUUUUCAGGUAUUUUUCAACCAAUUUUUUAUCUCUCUCUCGCUCUCUCUUUCCCUCCCUCUUUAUAUAUCUAUCUAUCUAUCUUUCUAUGAUGCUUCUUCAUCCCUUUCGAUUUUUGUCUCCUCAUUACGAAUACCAAAAAGCAUUUUCAUCGUGAAAAGCUGUCAUCGAUGGCGGUCCAUCCUCUUUGAUUUUCCCUCUUCUAUAGAAACAAAUGGAUCGAAUGAAUAUACAUAUAUUGCUAUGUGUGGCCGAAUUCAAAGAUAUUAUAACAAACAAAAGCGUUUUAGGUAAUACUGAGUCCAUCGAACACGUUAUAUUUUCAUCGAAACGAAACACAUUUGACCAGUAGAUACGUAACACGCCUCGUUUCAUUAAAAUUUUGUUUAUUGAUAAAAGCGAGACAAUGUACGAUGUGAUAUUGCUUAACGAAAAGGUAUUGUCCGAGUGAGAAAAUUGAUUUAUAAUUUAUAUUGCUCUGCUAUAAUUAUUAUUUAUAAAAAUUCAAAUACAAUAUAGUUAUCAUUUUUUGUAUUUCUUUAUUUGAAUUUUAAUUUGUUUUCUUUGGUCUCCAUCUGAUUUCAUUUCUUCAAGAAGCUUCUUCCGCAAUUAGUUUUUCGUUCCGUUCGUUUCUUAGCAUCCCUUCGAUUGAUCUUAUUCUACGGAAUAAGUUGGAAAAAUAAUUCGAUUAGUUUAUCUCAAUCAUUUGCCGUUUGCGAGAAUCGAACAACAUUUUUUAAGAUACACUUUGUGAACAAAGACUAACUUCAAUAAAUAAAAACAGAAACGAUUAAAAACAUUGCAAUAAAAUUGAUAUUGUUUAAAUAAAUAAUCUUCUUACUAGAAAAUUCUUCUCCCAUUUAAUAAACUUGCUUUCGCUAUGUUGAGCGACAUUUAAUUAUUAUU
This is a long non-coding RNA of Vespula vulgaris, 3017 nucleotides long. RefSeq lists it as uncharacterized. The record is from RefSeq and is a predicted model, not a curated record. The transcript is spliced from 3 exons. Lineage: Eukaryota; Metazoa; Arthropoda; Insecta; Hymenoptera; Vespidae.